AUGGCCUCCACCUCCUACUGCGCCACUCCAUCUCCGUCCCUACGAUGCUCUGCCGCCUUCUUCCCCAGCUUCGCUUCUCCGCCUCCCGUCCUCCGCUUCGCCGUUCCUCCGCUCCCCCCCCGCCGUCUCGCCAUAUCCCCACCCAGAGUUCCAAUUCCAGCGGUGGCGUCAGCGCUGGAGUCCCUAGUGCAGGAGUCCGACGACGAGGAUGACGAGGACGACGAGUCUGGGCUGUUCAAGGACGAGGCGUGGGCGUCGGCCGACGAGAGGGACGCGGUGCGGUCGCCGGAGCUGGUGGUGCCCGAGCUGGAGGAGCUGCCCGAGCAGUGGCGCCGCUCCAGGAUUGCCUGGCUCUGCAAGGAGCUCCCCGCCUACAAGCACUCCACCUUCACCCGCAUCCUCAACGCCCAGCGCAAGUGGCUCACCCAGGAGGACGCCACCUACGUCGCUGUACACUGCCUCCGCAUCCGCGACAACGACGCCGCCUUCCGGGUGUUUAGCUGGAUGGAGCGGCAGCACUGGUACCGCUUCAACUUUGCGCUUGCCACAAGGGUGGCGGAUUUUCUCGGCAGGGAAGGCAAGGUUGAGAAAUGCCGGGAGAUGUUUGAGGCAAUGGUCAAGCAGGGCCGUGUGCCUGCCGAGUCCACCUUCCACAUACUGACUGUUGCGUACCUCAGUACGCCCAGGGGACGGUGCCUCGAGCAUGCUUGCACUAUCUACAACCAGAUGAUACAGAUGGGCGGCUACAAGCCACGCCUCAGCCUUCACAACUCAUUGUUCCGCGCACUUGUGAGUAAGACAGGAGGAACUGCAAAACACAACCUCAGGCAGGCUGAGUUCAUCUACCACAAUCUGGUCACCACCAAUCUUGAGGUGCACAAGGAGGUCUAUGCUGGGCUCAUCUGGCUUCACAGCUACCAAGAUGUCAUUGAUAGAGACAGGAUCAUAGCUCUUAGGAAGGAAAUGAAGCAGGCUGGUUUUGAUGAGAGUAUUGAUGUGCUGGUGUCAGUCAUGCGGGCCUUCUCCAAAGAAGGGAGGGUUCAGGAAACAGAGGCAACAUGGCAUGAAAUUCUCCAGAGGGGUUCAGAACUUCCUGCUCAGGCCUAUGUCUGCCGAAUGGAGGUUUAUGCUCGAACUGGUGAGUCUAUGAAAUCCCUGGAUAUAUUCAGAGAAAUGAAGAGGCAAAGUAUACCCCCAAACGUUGCAACUUAUCAUAAGAUAAUUGAGAUAAUAGCAAAUGCUGAGGAGAUAGAUGUUGCGGAACAACUUAUGGAUGAAUUUUCUGAGAGUCAUAUGAAGCAUCUGAUGCCAGCAUUUCUUGCCCUGAUGUACAUGUAUUUGGAUCUUGAUAUGCAUGAGAAAUUAGAACUAACAUUCUCGAAAUGCCUUGCUAGGUGCCGUCCAAAUAGAAUCUUGUACACCAUCUAUCUAGAAUCACUGAUAAGGGCUGGAAAUGUCGAGAAAGCUGAGGAGGUCUUCGAUGAAAUGCACAAAAAAGGGACGAUAGGUACUAACGCAAAAUCUUGCAACAUCAUGCUAAGAGGUUAUAUUUCUGCAGAAGACUAUCAGAAAGCUGAAAAGGUUUAUGAUAUGAUGUGUAAAAAGAAGUAUGAUGUACAAGAGGAUUUGUUGGAAGAACUUCAGACUGGUCUCCGUCUUGGUAAGAAAGUCGCUGUUAAGCCAAAACCCGUGAGCAUGAAGUUGGAUCAAGAGCAGCGUGAGAUUUUAAUUGGUUUGCUUCUGGGAGGCACACAGAUUGAAUCUCAUGCACAGAGAGGGGUCCAUAUUGUCCAUUUUAAGUUCCAGGAAGAUUCUGAUACCCAUUCGGUCUUAAGGGUGCACAUUCAUGAGCGUUUCUUUGAAUGGCUGACUUCAGCAAGCAGAUCAUUUGAGGAUGAGAGCAAGAUACCUUAUGAGUUUUCAACCAUACCUCAUUUACAUUUUGGUUUCUUUGCUGAUCAGUUCUUUCUAAAAGGUCAGCCUGUUCUCCCAAAGCUUAUCCACAGGUGGUUAUCUCCACGUGUUCUAGCAUAUUGGUUCAUGUUUGGAGGCUUCAAACUCUCAUCAGGUGAUAUCGUUCUCAAGGUCAGUGGUGGGAACAGUGAGGGUGUUGAAAGAAUUGUAAACUCCUUGCAUGCACAGUCGUUACCUAGUAAAGUGAAGAGGAAAGGGCAAUUCUUCUGGAUAGGUUUUCAGGGGAGCAAUGCCGAUUCUUUCUGGAAAGUUAUAGAACCUUAUGUAUUGGACGGUUUCUUGGGUUUGACAACACAGGAAAGCGGCACCGCAGGUUCUGGUGAUGACCAAGAAACUGAUACUGAUUCUGAUGAUGAUGCUCAUAAGGAUGGAAGUGAAGAGUGA
Molecule: ribosomal RNA, 2358 nt
Filed under: Triticum aestivum (bread wheat)
Lineage: Eukaryota; Viridiplantae; Streptophyta; Magnoliopsida; Poales; Poaceae
Description: partial small subunit ribosomal RNA
Source: RNAcentral